AGUUUGAUCUAGCUCCAGAUUGAACGCUGGCGCGGGAUGCUUGCAUGCAAGUCGAACGGCAGCACGGACUUCAGUCUGGUGGCGAGAGUAAGCGAACAGGGUGAGUAAUGUAUCGGAACGUGCCUGGUAGCGGGGGAUAACUACGCGGCGUAGCUAAUACCCGCAUACGCCCUUCGGGGAAAGCGGGGGGACCAGCUGGGCCUCACUGUUUAGAGCGGCCGAUAUCCGGAUUAUGGCUAGUUGGUGGGGUAACGGCUCACCAAAAGGCGACGAUCCGUAGCUGGUUUGAGAGGACGACCAAAUACCGCCGGGACUGGACACGGCAGACUCCACGGGGAGGCAGCAGUGGGGGAAUUUUGGACAAUGGGGGAAACCUGAUCCAGCCAUCCCGCGUGUGCGAUGAAAGGCCUUCAGGGUUGUAAAAGCCUUUUUGGCAAGGAAAAACAGCACGGGAUAAUACCCGUGCAACUAGGCGGUCACCUGCAGAAUAAGCACCGGCCCAACUACGUGCCAGCAGCCGCGGUAAACGUCGGGUGCAGCGUUAAUCAGGAUUACUGGAGGCGUAAAGCGUGCGCAGGCGGUUCGGAAAGAAAGAUGUGAAAUCCCAGAGCUUAACUUUGGAACUGCAUUUUAACUACCGAGCUAGAGUGUCAGAGGAGGUGAAUUCCCGCGUGUAGCAGUGAAAUGCGUAGAUAUGCGGAGAGGAACACCGAUGGCGAAGGCAACCUCCUGGGAUAACGCGACGCUCAGCCACGAAAAGUAGAGAUGUGACGGAUUAGAUACCCUGGUAGUCCACGCCCUAAACGAUGUCAACUAGCUGUUGGGACUACAGACGAAGUGGCGCAGCUAACGCGUGAAGUUGACCGCCUGGGAAGUACGGUCGCAAGAUUAAAACUCAAAGGGAAUUGACGGGGACCCGCACAAGCGAUUGGAUGAUGUGGACAAUUCGAUGCCUGGCACCGAAAAGAAACCUACCCUUGACAUGUCUGGAAUCCCGAAGAGAUUUGGGAGUGCUCGCAAGAAGAGGCGGAACACAGGUGCUGCAUGGCUGUCGUCAGCUCAUGUGAGAUGUUGGGUUGAAUCCCUGUGUUGCAACCCUUGUCAUUAGUUGCUACGAAAGGGCACUCUAAUGAGACUGCCAGUAUCGAACCGGAAAGUCAGGGAUGACGUCAAGUCCUCAUGGCCCUUAUGGGUAGAGCACACGUCAUACAAUGGUCAGGACAGAGGGUCGCCAACCCGCGAGGGGGAGCCAAUCCCGAAACCCGAUCGUAGUCCGGAUCGCAGUCUGCAACUCGACUGCGUGAAGUCGAAAGAUCGCUAGUAAUCGCGGAUCAGCAUGUCGCGGUGAAUACGUUCCCGGGUCUUGUACACACCGCCCGUCACACCAUGGGAGUGGGUUUUACCAAGUAGUUAGCCUAACCGUAAGGAGGGCGAUUACCACGGUAGGAUUCAUGACUGGGGUGAAGUCGUAACAAGGUAG
Molecule: ribosomal RNA, 1480 nt
Filed under: uncultured Bordetella sp.
Lineage: Bacteria; Pseudomonadati; Pseudomonadota; Betaproteobacteria; Burkholderiales; Alcaligenaceae
Description: partial 16S-23S ribosomal RNA intergenic spacer
Rfam family: Bacterial small subunit ribosomal RNA
Source: RNAcentral